RNAcentral lists this long non-coding RNA (5141 nucleotides) under Capsicum annuum. RNAcentral's name for it is "long non-coding RNA (CANN_LNC014921)". Lineage: Eukaryota; Viridiplantae; Streptophyta; Magnoliopsida; Solanales; Solanaceae. The record is from RNAcentral.
UAGCGCAAAUCCGUCAGUACAACUAAAGUACUGAUUAUACGCGGGGGUAGGCUAAAUGCAUGGGGUUUAUAUGCAUGAACAUGCUGACUAAUAUGAACGUGAGAAUACAUACAUACAUACAUACAUACGUAACUGCUAUAGAACUCGUGGAGAUAGUGACUACUUGAGUUUGAACUCUGACAACAUGAGUUUCGUGAUACUGAGAUACUGAAUGACUGAUGACAUGGAUGACUGUAUCUAACAGUCCUAAUUUUGGGGGAAACUAUCUGAGUUCCAAACUGUAUCUGAACAUCUAAGUCUGAGAUCAGUCCUAGCUAACGAGUGAUCUCUAAAACUGAUAAUGAGAAUACUCGACUGAAUCUGAGAUUGAGAUCAAGCCUGCCUGCCGGGUGACCUCUAGAUAUAAUAAUAAGCAUCUAAAUAUGUGACCAAAACUAUCUGACGGGAUGGUCUAGUAAUCAUUAGAACUAUCUGAGUUCCUUACUGAGAUUGAUGACUGUAUACAGUCCUGAUUCUUGAUUUCUACUCUGAAGACUGAUACUAAAACUAUAACUGUACUGUGACUGUGGGAGGUAGUAACCUAAUUGACAUGCCCCACAACUGUACUAGUGGGGUCCAAUCUUUGCCUUGAUUGGAAGGGUGUCAAUACCAUGCCACGGGUGGAGACCUUUACUAUGGCCAAGCCUCUCUGACAGGUGACCCUGAACAGGAAAUCAAGCCUAAGANNNNNNNNNNNNNNNNNNNNNNNNNNNNNNNNNNNNNNNNNNNNNNNNNNNNNNNNNNNNNNNNNNNNNNNNNNNNNNNNNNNNNNNNNNNNNNNNNNNNNNNNNNNNNNNNNNNNNNNNNNNNNNNNNNNNAACUGAACUGAUUUUGAGUUUACUGAGUUCCUUGGACUGACGGAACACUACUAACAUCUGAUAUCUAGCUAAGUCAUGAGAUUGCAGAUCUUACUAAGUACUAAGUUUUCAUGAGAUUUCUGAGUCUUUCCUGAGUCACAUGACUAACUGUAAUCUAUGGAACAUAGCUUGACUGAGGAUGUCUUAAAACAUGACACUAGAUCUAGGCACAUAGCUAUAGUCUUUGGGUACAAUUACCUCCAGGACUCGAUGGAAGGAAACUGACACACAUGACUGACUUGAUCAUAAGAGUAGAGUCCAUAAUUCACAAUAUUAUAAGUAAGGAUUUCAUAAUAAGAAUGAUUCUCAACAAACUAUCACAUGAACGAAAAUGCACACAACAUGUAUAUACUUGCACGGCUUACAUAACAUGGUCAUUCCAUAUCACAACAAUAUCAUGAGCAUCUCAUACAACAUCUUCAAUUCAAGACAAUAGCAUGGGGAUCACAUUGAACAUAAGCUUAGAACAUGGAACAGUCAUGUAGGGCUUAUUAUGUCAUAAAAGCAUGAUUUCUAUUCCCUUAGGUAUUUUCACAAACACCUUGCAUGCACAUCUUAGGCAUAGGUGGAUUCAUCAAGAUUUCAAACAUUCAACAACCAAUUUCACAUGUUUAUACAUUAAAUACCACCAUAUCCUCACAUAAAACAUAAAAAGAUCCCAUCUUAGUCAUCAUCAAAAUCCAACCAGAUGAACAUCAACCACCAACAACAUAAACAUCAUAAUACAUAAUUUAGAAGAUGGUUCUUGAGCUUUAUGGACGAAAGGAGUUCAUAAAUCAACUCACGCAUACCUUAGAAGAAAGAUUCUUGAUGAUUGACGGAGGAAUUUUCUUGAAAUUGGAUCUUCAAGCUUAAUUAUGCAACCCUAGUUGUUUUUCUCAUUUAGUACUCUUGGAUGUUGAGAUUUGAGAUGUUAAUUGGGUUGUAAUAUGUUUAGAAGCUAUAUAUUUCAUAGGGUUAAGUUUAGGGACGUUUAAGGAGUGUUAAAAGAUUGAAUUACCCCUUAAAAUAACUCAAAACAUAGUGUUUUUGACACUUGGAACUGACUUAAGUGGUGCCCAAGUGAUUGCCUAAGCUAGGUUGGGCGGCGCCUAACCAAUCGCUUAUGUUUGGUUGGGCGGCGCCUAACCAAUCACCUAUCCUUAUUGUCCCUCAUGAAAAUGGGCAUAACUUUUUGCUCGGGUAUUGGAUUAAGCCGAAAUUGGUAUCGUUGGAAAGCUAAUUCGAUUCUCUACAAUUUGGUGGGUAUAAAUUAGCUAACAUACUGCAUUAACAUCAAGUUAUACUCAUUCAAAGACGACCCUUGCAAAAUCGAACACUAAAACAUGAUGGAUUCAAAAACUUUUAGCUUGUAUUACCUUAAGUGACUCAUAUGAGCAUGCUUAAUGCAUCAUAAGCCAUCCUAUCACUAGGAUAUUCAUUGUAAGUCAUGUACUCAAGUAUGAAUCACAGGAUAGGAGAUUUUAUACGUAGGAAUACUUAUUCACUUCCUAACUUAGAAACAUGCGGGGUAUUGCAAUAUCACCCCCUUGGGAACAUUCGUCCUUGAAUGAGAAUUAACUGAGGUGGGAGAGAUGAUAAGAUGAAGUACGUACAAGACAUACACUACUGAAACAUGGACUCAUGACUGACAUGACUGAAAGUGGAGCACAAUAUACUGAACAUGCAUAUCUGAUGCUUGGGAAGCUGAUUCAUGAAUAUAAGACUGAGGACUCUAAUAAAGUGAGUUUUCUUAAAAUGAGAAUGCAUUUCUGAUGCAUAACUGAAAGACUGAAUCCAUGCAUAUCUGAUGCAUGAUUACAUGACUGACAUGAUAUGUAAAUGUAUUAGUGAUAUUACUGAUAAAUAGUACUUUCUCUACUGAACACGUAUAUCUAAUGCCUGAAUAUCUGACUGAGCUGAAUCUUGAAAGCAUGACUGAUUAUGCCAUGUCACUUGAUAACUAAUUUAUAACAAGAAAAUAAAAACAUCAAGAAAAGGGUGGGGUAUCUCCCCCUUGGGACACUAUGUCCCUCUAGGAAUGUUUACCUUGCUGAGAUACUGGGGUGAUGCACAGGGCAUCUACGAACUAGAUUAUAAAUAAACAUUGGAGAGCUGAGACUAAUGUAUGAUGCAUGAACUGAACUAGACCUACUAAUGUUACUGACUAAUUCAUGUGGAAACAUAAGCUCCAAUGAGCGUAACAUAUCUAACAAUGCAUACAAUGAUCAUGAAAAACAUGUAAUGUACCGAAUCUAGGUUGGGGAAACUUUCUGGAUCAUGGUGAGUCUAGAGUAAAUAGAGUCGAUUCUGAUGCUGACCACUAUUGGUACUGGGAUUUGCGGCCUGCUCACGCGAAUCUCUACCUUUCUGAGCUAACACUCUACACUCCCGCACUCUAUGGCCUGGCUUACCGCACCCAAAACAUACCUAACUAUUAUCUCUGCAUGCACCUAGAUGAUUCUUGCCACACACUCCACAAAGCGGAUAAGUACGCUCACUUCUAACACUACUCUAGGCUUUGGAGCCUGGCGCCCCACCAUGACUAACAUAUCCAAAGUUAUGUGUGGGCACACUAGCUGAAGAUAGAACAGGGGCUGAAUUUUUUUUGACUAUGGUGAUAAUGAUUACCACCCUGUGACCCAGCCAGAGAAAAGCUGUAACUACCUGCUCUGAAUCUCUUAUUAGAUCUCUCCGUCUCUUUAGACUUAUCUGCCUCUAUCUACUGAGCAUGCAUCAUUAAUCUAGCAAGGUCUAUGUCCUUAUUGAGCAUAGCUGUUCUACACUCUUUCUGGGGUCAGCUAUCAAGUCAGGAGCAUACUUAGAUAACUAGUUGAACUUAAGACAAUACUCCUUCAUUGUCAUGGAACCUUGUCUCAGGUUCAUAAACUCUUCUACCUUAGAUUCUCUCAUCUCUAAUGGGAAAAACUUAUCUAGGAAGAAAUCCUGAAAUAUCUUCCAAGUCAUGGAAGUUGUAUCUUCCCCUCUACUCUUCUUCCACAAUACCACCCAAUCAUGAGCAAUAUCUUUUAGCCUAUAAAACGCUAAUUCCACUCUCUUAUCCUCUGACACAUGCAUGAUUUGGGUGAUCUUCUUUACCUCUUAUAGAUACAGCAGUGGGUCCUCACCAGUUACUAACCCAAAGAAUUCUGGAGGGUUCAUUCUCAUAAAAUUUCUGAUUCUGGCUACAGCUGAAUCCCCAUCUUGCUGGGGUGGGGCUGUAGUCUGGCGGUUGCCCUGAACACUAGUGGUCACAGCCUGGGCUAGCACUUAAAAAACUACCCAAAAUUAUGUAUAUGACACAUUCUCAUUCAAAGGAUCUACGGGCUGCGGGGCUGACUGAUUCCCUGUUCUCUUCUUAGGAGGCAUAUUCUGCAAACAGAAGAGGAACAAGGAUUAAACUGAGAGUUCAACUUGAGCUUUUCCUCACUAGCACAAUAUGAGUACUGAAAGAAGGGAUACUGUUCCUAAAACAUCUUAUAGCCUCAUGUACAAAAAUGUGGCGCGCAACACAACCAUGUACAAGACUCUACUAGAUACAGAUUUCAGACUUCCUAGGACUCUAUUGAACCUUAGGCUCUGAUACCAAGUUUGUAACACCCCAAUUUUCUGAACCGCAAUGCUACAUGGUGCUCAUGACCCCGAAGGACCACAAGCUAACCCAUGACUGAUAUCUGUACCUGUAACUACAUAAUAUUCAUAUAAAAUGCAAAAACAUGAACAAAGAGGGCGUAAGGUUCAAUCUUGAAUAAUAAGAUAUCUGAAAUAAGGUGGUAUCACAGUACUAAAACAAAAUUGAAAAUACUAAUGUCUAAAUCUAAAAACUCUAUAAUCAUCUGAAAGCCUCUAAACUGUCUGAAUAAGGAGUUGAAGGAACAUGUCUCCAACUAACUCCCUAAACUGAAAAUAAACCAAAAUACUGGAAUAAUAUAUGUAACGAUCAUGUCCUUGAAAGAUGAGGACUCACUGCUUACUGAACUACUACUGCUGAUCUGGAAUCUGUACCUAAGAACCUAUGGUGUAAUAAAAAGAAAGCAUCAUAGUGCAAAUGCAUCAGUACAGCUAAAGUACUGAGCAUACGUAGGGGUAGGCUAAAUGCAUGGGGUUUAUAUUCAUGAACAUACUGACUAAUAUGAAUGUGAGAAUACAUACAUAACUGCUAUAGAACUCGUGGAGAUACUGACUACUUGAGUUUGAACUCUGACAACAUGAGUUUCGUGAUACUGAGAUACUGAAUGACUGAUAACAUGGAUGACUGUAACUAAC